GCUUCCCUAGCUCAAUUGGUAGAGCAGUAGACUCUUAAUCUAUUUGUUCCGGGUUCGAUUCCCGGGGGGGGUACCA
RNAcentral lists this transfer RNA (76 nucleotides) under Opitutaceae bacterium. RNAcentral's name for it is "tRNA-Lys". It matches the Rfam family "tRNA". Rfam says of the family: Transfer RNA (tRNA) molecules are approximately 80 nucleotides in length. Lineage: Bacteria; Pseudomonadati; Verrucomicrobiota; Opitutia; Opitutales; Opitutaceae. The record is from RNAcentral.